UUCAGUGAAAUAUUUCAAUCAAUGGUAUUGAUUGAUCUCUGAUGGAAAUUUAGUUCUGUUAGUUCAGUUUCCUGUUUCACUUUCUAGAAUACAAAUGUAUUUGUGUGUGUGUGUGUGUGUGUGUGUGUGUGUGUAGAGAGAGAGAGAGAGAGACCGACUGAGACCUGAAA
RNAcentral lists this small RNA (170 nucleotides) under Marmota monax (woodchuck). The record is from RNAcentral. Lineage: Eukaryota; Metazoa; Chordata; Mammalia; Rodentia; Sciuridae.